GUAACAAGGUCUCCGUUGGUGAACCAGCGGAGGGAUC
This 37-nucleotide ribosomal RNA is filed under the name Ophiocordyceps stylophora. RNAcentral describes it as "partial 18S ribosomal RNA". Lineage: Eukaryota; Fungi; Ascomycota; Sordariomycetes; Hypocreales; Ophiocordycipitaceae. The record is from RNAcentral.